UUCAAUCAUUUCUGCAUUUCACGUUUCUCUCUUCUUCUCCCUCCACUCACUUUCCACAUCUCUCAAAACCCAACUUACUUGACCAUCACCGCUGCCAUUCACUCUUUUUCGCAUCCACGAAGUUCAUCUUAAGUUGGUUAUAGCCGUUAUACGCAUUAAAAAGUGAGAACAUCUUAGGCCCAGAUGGCACCUGUGACAAUUUCAGAGAACAGUGGCUUGGAAAAAACUAUGAGGCCGCUAAGGCUAAGCGGUGAAAUAACAGUUACGCCCCGAGAUCAGAACGAAGGAGAAGUAAGGGAGCUUUGAUAGUUUUUUUCACCGACAGAGAGACCGAACUCUGAUCGAAGGAGAAAGAAGAGAACGAUAGAAUUGAGGAAGGAUCUGUCGGCCGGCCUUUCAACUCGAUCCCCCAACAAAAGAUCAGAGGAGCAAAGAAUAUGAGUAAGUACACACUGGAUGCCUCUGUAACUUCUAAGGGAGAAUCAAACAUGGACUUCUCCGCCUUGGAUGAGAAGCUUGGAAAGGGUAUUGCCGAGGCAUUGUUGACGAUGAUUCGCGAAGCUGUUGUGCAAGGGAUAACAACAGUUCUCCCAGAGAUUGUGAAAACGGUUGGUUUCUCACCAAAAAGUGAGAGUGACGGACUGACGGUGUAAAGCUUUCGAAUACUGCUCCAGUUGUUACACCACCGUCGGACACUUUGAAACGCAUAAAGCUUUCGAAUACUGCUCCAGUUGUAACUCCGCUGUCGGACCCUUUGAAAGAAAUACUUGAUGCCGAUCCCUCAAUGUGUUUGGGUGACGAACCAGUCACGAAGAAGAGUACUUAGAGGUGCAAGGAAAAAAAGCGUGGAUUACUGGUCUCCGUAGUUAAGGUUUUAUGUUUUUAUUUUUAAAUAACAACUAUUAAAUACCACUUAGAUAGCAUUUGAUCAAAAUAGUACACAAUAGAAAGAAGUUAUAGUUCACAAAGUACAACAUCAUUUAACCAUUGGAUUUGCCACUGUUCCCAUUUAAGGGUGAAGAACUUUUUAGUAUUCUCACAUAUUAUAAUAUUAAUGUUAAGCCAUAAAAUACAA
This is a non-coding RNA of Arachis ipaensis, 1075 nucleotides long. Lineage: Eukaryota; Viridiplantae; Streptophyta; Magnoliopsida; Fabales; Fabaceae. The record is from RefSeq and is a predicted model, not a curated record.